UGGGGAAUAUUGCACAAUGGACGGAAGUCUGAUGCAGCAACGCCGCGUGCGGGAUGACGGCCUUCGGGUUGUAAACCGCUUUUUCUCAUGACGAAGUUUUUUGACGGUAGUGGGGGAAGAAGCACCGGCUAACUACGUGCCAGCAGCCGCGGUGAUACGUAGGGUGCGAGCGUUGUCCGGAAUUAUUGGGCGUAAAGAGCUUGUAGGCGGUUUGUCGCGUCGAUAGUGCAAACUCAGUGCUUAACGCUGAGCCUGUUGUUGAUACGGGCAGACUCGAGGAAGGUAGGGGAGAAUGGAAUUCCCGGUGGAGCGGUGGAAUGCGCAGAUAUCGGGAGGAACACCGGUGGCGAAGGCGGUUCUCUGGGCCUUUCCUGACGCUGAGAAGCGAAAGCGUGGGGAGCGAACAGG
This 408-nucleotide ribosomal RNA is filed under the name Fusobacteriota bacterium. Its description in RNAcentral is "Fusobacteria bacterium partial 16S ribosomal RNA". It matches the Rfam family "Bacterial small subunit ribosomal RNA", at positions 355 to 776 of the family's 1533-position model. The record is from RNAcentral. Lineage: Bacteria; Fusobacteriati; Fusobacteriota.